Poecilia reticulata (guppy) is the source of this 1205-nucleotide non-coding RNA. The record is from RefSeq and is a predicted model, not a curated record. NCBI's taxonomy places the organism in Eukaryota, Metazoa, Chordata, Actinopteri, Cyprinodontiformes, Poeciliidae.
AGUCGGUUGUCAUGGAAAACUUGACAGCGCUUCUUCAUUCCCAGGGUUCCGUGAGAGCCGUUUGCCCCACCCCACCUCUUCAGCGCUAUCUAUCUCAAUGUACAAUUCUCUGAGAAAAAAAAACGGGGGCAAAAAUUAUUCAGAGAAACACCGCGAACGGAGCAACUCUCACUUACCAGACCGGUUCAACGGAGCGGCCGCGGGCUAUCGGCGCCGAAAGCAACUGCCUGCCUCCGUUUGGAUGAAGGAAUACAAAAAGGAGAGAGACUUGACAGCGGACUGUGCUCCUGCUGCUGCUUGCGCCAAAACGGGGGACACAGCGGAGGAUUUCCACAAAUAUCGUCCGGAUAUUUGGUCACGGAGACGGACAGCCAGCUGCCGAGAGCUGCCUGUGCUCGGCCGGAGAAGAUUUCCGAUGUGAGGAGAAACACAAAUUAACGCUACGGAGAGAAAAAGGACGGACUAGGGGCCUUUUUCCUUUUCUAUUUUUUUUUUGUUUUGUUGGUCAAACCCUCCUUAAAAAAGACGGACACCCGCAUCUAUUGAUCGAAGACAGGACUGAAUUUUUUGGCACAGGAUAUCACCAAUAAGGUUGCUGAGAGCCUUCCUGAAUAAAAUAAAAUGUGAGAGAUUUUGGAAGAAGCCCCGGUGUAGCCUGAUGAUUCACAUGCCGUCAUUUUAAGAGGAAAUAUAUAUAUWUUUUAAAAUUUCUCUCCCUCUCGUCCUCUAAUGUUCUUCUGUUUGUUUGACGCUCAAUUGCAGUCAGUUCGAUUAAUAAACCUAAAUAUCUAUUUUUAAACAAGAGUAAUUGAGAAAGGGAGACUGAAGAAAACAGAGGUCUGUCUGAAAUGGAUUGAAUGGCAGUGGGAGUUAUCAGCCGAAGAUGGGCUCCUGAGGGGACAUUUGCUGAGAAAAAAGAAAAAUAUUUGUAUCAUCGCUAUAAAAAAUAUAACAAACUAAAAAAAAAAAAAGCAGAGGCCGGUGUUUGAGAUCCCUAAGCCUUGAAGGAAUCUGGGGCGCAGAGAUUCAUUCAUGAGCAGCCAGAAAGCUGGAAAUUCCACAUCCACUCUUAUAUCAGCGUUGAUGACUUCAUUGCGGAUUUACAGUGAAAAACACGGGAAUCAAGUGUUUGAGAGGGCGGGAUCGUUUGCUCCACUUCUGAUCUCUCUCUGCUGAUGGUUUUCCAGUAAAAAAAAAAAAAAAAA